RNAcentral lists this ribosomal RNA (442 nucleotides) under uncultured bacterium. RNAcentral's name for it is "bacterial SSU rRNA". It matches the Rfam family "Bacterial small subunit ribosomal RNA", at positions 338 to 795 of the family's 1533-position model. The record is from RNAcentral.
CCUACGGGGGGCUGCAGUGGGGAAUAUUGCACAAUGGGGGAAACCUGGUGGCACCAAGGCGCGGGAAGGGAGGAGGGUUUUGGGAUGUAAAAUUUUUAUAGCAGGGAAGGAGGAAGUGGCCAUUACUGACUUAAGAGGCCCGGCUAACUACGGUCCAGCCGCCGGGGUAAUACGUAGGGGGCAAGCGUUAUCCGGAAUCACUGGGUGUAAAGGGUGCGUAGGCGGUAGGGCAAGUCAGAUGUGAAAGCCCGGGGCUCAACCCCGGGAUUGCAUUUGAAACUGUCUUACUAGAGUGCAGGAGAGGAAAGCAGAAUUCCUAGUGUAGCGGUGAAAUGCGUAGAUAUUAGGAAGAACACCAGUGGCGAAGGCGGCUUUCUGGACUGUAACUGACGCUGAGGCACGAAAGCGUGGGGAGCGAACAGGAUUAGAUACCCGGGUAGUC